GACGAACGCUGGCGGCGUGCUUAACACAUGCAAGUCGAACGGUAAGGCCCUUCGGGGUACACGAGUGGCGAGCGGGUGAGUAACACGUGGGUGAUCUGCCCUGCACUUCGGGAUAAGCCUGGGAAACUGGGUCUAAUACCGGAUAGGACCACUGCCUGCAUGGGUGGUGGCGGCAAGCUUUUGCGGUGUGGGAUGGGCCCGCGGCCUAUCAGCUUGUUGAUGGGGUGAUGGCCUACCAAGGCGACGACGGGUAGCCGGCCUGAGAGGGUGACCGGCCACACUGGGACUGAGAUACGGCCCAGACUCCUACGGGAGGCAGCAGUGGGGAAUAUUGCACAAUGGGCGCAAGCCUGAUGCAGCGACGCCGCGUGAGGGAUGACGGCCUUCGGGUUGUAAACCUCUUUCAGCACCGACGAAGCGCAAGUGACGGUAGGUGCAGAAGAAGGACCGGCCAACUACGUGCCAGCCGCCGCCGUAA
Molecule: ribosomal RNA, 478 nt
Filed under: uncultured bacterium
Lineage: Bacteria
Description: partial 16S ribosomal RNA
Rfam family: Bacterial small subunit ribosomal RNA
Source: RNAcentral